AACUUUCCAGAGAUGGAUUGGUGCCUUCGGGAACUGUGAGACAGGUGCUGCAUGGCUGUCGUCAGCUCGUGUUGUGAAAUGUUGGGUUAAGUCCCGCAACGAGCGCAACCCUUAUCCUUUGUUGCCAGCGGUCCGGCCGGGAACUCAAAGGAGACUGCCAGUGAUAAACUGGAGGAAGGUGGGGAUGACGUCAAGUCAUCAUGGCCCUUACGACCAGGGCUACACACGUGCUACAAUGGCGCAUACAAAGAGAAGCGACCUCGCGAGAGCAAGUGGACCUCAUAAAGUGCGUCGUAGUCCGGAUUGGAGUCUGCAACUCGACUCCAUGAAGUCGGAAUCGCUAGUAAUCGUGGAUCAGAAUGCCACGGUGAAUACGUUCCCGGGCCUUGUACACACCGCCCGUCACACCAUGGGAGUGGGUUGCAAAAGAAGUAGGUAGCUUAACCUUCGGGAGGGCGCUUACCACUUUGUGAUUCAUGACUGGGGUGAAGUCGUAACAAGGUAGGCGUAGCGAG
RNAcentral lists this ribosomal RNA (515 nucleotides) under uncultured bacterium. RNAcentral's name for it is "bacterial SSU rRNA". It matches the Rfam family "Bacterial small subunit ribosomal RNA", at positions 994 to 1509 of the family's 1533-position model. The record is from RNAcentral.